RNAcentral lists this unclassified non-coding RNA (336 nucleotides) under soil metagenome. RNAcentral's name for it is "partial contains 5.8S ribosomal RNA, internal transcribed spacer 2, and large subunit ribosomal RNA". The stretch from base 1 to 120 matches the Rfam family "5.8S ribosomal RNA", at positions 35 to 154 of the family's 154-position model. The record is from RNAcentral.
GAUGAAGAACGUAGUGAAAUGCGAUAAGUAAUGUGAAUUGCAGAAUUCAGUGAAUCAUCGAAUCUUUGAACGCACAUUGCGCCCAUUAGUAUUCUAGUGGGCAUGCCUGUUCGAGCGUCAUUUCAACCCUUAAGCCUAGCUUAGUGUUGGGAAUCUGCUGUAUUGCAGUUCCUCAAAUACAACGGCGGAUCUGUAACAUCCUCUGAGCGUAGUAAAUUUUUAUCUCGCUUUUGUUAGGUGUUGCAGCUCUCAGCCGCUAAACCCCCCAAUUUUUGUGGUUGACCUCGGAUCAGGUAGGAAUACCCGCUGAACUUAAGCAUAUCAAUAAGCGGUGGA